AUUGAACGCUGGCGGCAGGCCUAACACAUGCAAGUCGAACGGUAACAGGAAACAGCUUGCUGUUUCGCUGACGAGUGGCGGACGGGUGAGUAAUGUCUGGGAAGCUGCCUGAUGGAGGGGGAUAACUACUGGAAACGGUAGCUAAUACCGCAUAACGUCGCAAGACCAAAGAGGGGGACCUUCGGGCCUCUUGCCAUCGGAUGUGCCCAGAUGGGAUUAGCUAGUAGGUGGGGUAACGGCUCACCUAGGCGACGAUCCCUAGCUGGUCUGAGAGGAUGACCAGCCACACUGGAACUGAGACACGGUCCAGACUCCUACGGGAGGCAGCAGUGGGGAAUAUUGCACAAUGGGCGCAAGCCUGAUGCAGCCAUGCCGCGUGUAUGAAGAAGGCCUUCGGGUUGUAAAGUACUUUCAGCGGGGAGGAAGGGAGUAAAGUUAAUACCUUGACUCAUUGACGUUACCCGCAGAAGAAGCACCGGCUAACUCCGUG
This 490-nucleotide ribosomal RNA is filed under the name uncultured bacterium. RNAcentral's name for it is "partial 16S ribosomal RNA". It matches the Rfam family "Bacterial small subunit ribosomal RNA", at positions 30 to 507 of the family's 1533-position model. The record is from RNAcentral.